AUUGAACGCUGGCGGCAUGCUUUACACAUGCAAGUCGAACGGUAACAGGCCUUCGGGUGCUGACGAGUGGCGAACGGGUGAGUAAUGCAUCGGAACGUGCCCAGAGGUGGGGGAUAACGCAGCGAAAGCUGUGCUAAUACCGCAUGUGAUCUGAGGAUGAAAGCGGGGGACCGGGCAGCAAUGUUUGGCCUCGCGCCUUUGGAGCGGCCGAUGUCGGAUUAGGUAGUUGGUGGGGUAAGGGCCUACCAAGCCGACGAUCUGUAGCUGGUCUGAGAGGACGACCAGCCACACUGGGACUGAGACACGGCCCAGACUCCUACGGGAGGCAGCAGUGGGGAAUUUUGGACAACGGGCGAAAGCCUGAUCCAGCAAUGCCGCGUGCGGGAAGAAGGCCUUCGGGUUGUAAACCGCUUUUGUACGGAACGAAAAGGCUCUGGCUAAUACCUGGGGCUGAUGACGGUACCGUAAGAAUAAGCACCGGCUAACUACGUG
This 492-nucleotide ribosomal RNA is filed under the name uncultured bacterium. Its description in RNAcentral is "partial 16S ribosomal RNA". It matches the Rfam family "Bacterial small subunit ribosomal RNA", at positions 29 to 507 of the family's 1533-position model. The record is from RNAcentral.